Molecule: ribosomal RNA, 441 nt
Filed under: uncultured bacterium
Lineage: Bacteria
Description: partial 16S ribosomal RNA
Rfam family: Bacterial small subunit ribosomal RNA
Source: RNAcentral
CCUACGGGUGGCAGCAGUGGGGAAUAUUGGGCAAUGGGCGAAAGCCUGACCCAGCAACGCCGCGUGAAGGACGAAGGCUUUCGGGUUGUAAACUUCUUUUGACAGGGAAGAGCAGAAGACGGUACCUGUCGAAUAAGCCACGGCUAACUACGUGCCAGCAGCCGCUGUAAUACGUAGGGGGCAAGCGUUGUCCGGAUUCAUUGGGUUUAAGGGGUGUGUAGGCGAGCAUUUAAGCCGGUGGUAAAAUUUCGGGGCUCAACCCCGGCCUGCCAUCGGAACUGGGUGCCUUGAGUGGGCGAGAAGUAGGCGGAAUGCGUGGUGUAGCGGUGAAAUGCAUAGAGAUCACGCAGAACACCGAUUGCGAAGGCAGCAGACGGGCGCGCGACUGACGCUGAGGCACGAAAGUGCGGGUAUCGAACAGGAUUAGAUACCCCUGUAGUC